This 127-nucleotide small RNA is filed under the name Marmota monax (woodchuck). The record is from RNAcentral. Lineage: Eukaryota; Metazoa; Chordata; Mammalia; Rodentia; Sciuridae.
GCCAGGCACGGUGGCACAUGCCUGUAAUCCCAGCAGCUUGGGAGGCUGAGGCAGGAGAAUUGUGAGUUCAAAGCCAGUCUCAGCAACUUAGUGACACACUUAGCAACUCAGUGAGACCCUAUCUCUA